Molecule: ribosomal RNA, 466 nt
Filed under: uncultured bacterium
Lineage: Bacteria
Description: partial 16S ribosomal RNA
Rfam family: Bacterial small subunit ribosomal RNA
Source: RNAcentral
GACGAACGCUGGCGGCGUGCUUAACACAUGCAAGUCGAACGGAAAGGCCCUGCUUUUGUGGGGUGCUCGAGUGGCGAACGGGUGAGUAACACGUGAGUAACCUGCCCUUGACUUUGGGAUAACUUCAGGAAACUGGGGCUAAUACCGGAUAGGAGCCCCUGCUGCAUGGUGGGGGUUGGAAAGUUUCGGCGGUUGGGGAUGGACUCGCGGCUUAUCAGCUUGUUGGUGGGGUAGUGGCUUACCAAGGCUUUGACGGGUAGCCGGCCUGAGAGGGUGACCGGCCACAGUGGGUGAGAGAUACGGCCGAGACUCCUGGGGGGGGCAGCAGGGGGAAAUAUUGCACAAGGGGCGGACGCGUGAUACAGAAGCGCCGCGUGGGGGAUGAGGGCUUUGGGGUUGAAAACCGCUUUCGCGUGUGACGAAGCGUGAGUGGCGGAAGUGGGAAAAGACGCACCGGAAAAAUACG